RNAcentral lists this ribosomal RNA (206 nucleotides) under uncultured bacterium. RNAcentral's name for it is "partial 16S ribosomal RNA". It matches the Rfam family "Bacterial small subunit ribosomal RNA", at positions 568 to 774 of the family's 1533-position model. The record is from RNAcentral.
CGCGUAGGCGGUAUGUCAUGUCAGGGGUGAAAGGCCUGGGCUCAACCCAGGAACUGCCUUUGAAACUGGCAAACUAGAGUCCGAUAGAGGAUGGCGGAAUUCCCAGUGUAGAGGUGAAAUUCGUAGAUAUUGGGAAGAACACCAGUGGCGAAGGCGGCCAUCUGGAUCGGCACUGACGCUGAGGCGCGAAAGCGUGGGAGCAAACA